This 301-nucleotide ribosomal RNA is filed under the name uncultured bacterium. RNAcentral describes it as "partial 16S ribosomal RNA". It matches the Rfam family "Bacterial small subunit ribosomal RNA", at positions 509 to 809 of the family's 1533-position model. The record is from RNAcentral.
CAGUAGCCACGGUGAUACGAAGGGUGCAAGCGUUAAUCGGAACUACUGGGCGUAAAGCGUGCGUAGGCGGUGAGUUAAGUCUGCUGUGAAAUCCCCGGGCUCAACCUGGGAAUGGCAGUGGAUACUGGCUCGCUAGAGUGUGUCAGAGGAUGGUGGAAUUCCCGGUGUAGCGGUGAAAUGCGUAGAGAUCGGGAGGAACAUCAGUGGCGAAGGCGGCCAUCUGGGACAACACUGACGCUGAGGCACGAAAGCGUGGGGAGCAAACAGGAUUAGAUACCCCCGUAGUCCCUGUCUCUUAUAA